This 532-nucleotide ribosomal RNA is filed under the name uncultured bacterium. Its description in RNAcentral is "bacterial SSU rRNA". It matches the Rfam family "Bacterial small subunit ribosomal RNA", at positions 775 to 1316 of the family's 1533-position model. The record is from RNAcentral.
AGAUAAUAGAUACCCCGGUAGUCCUGGCCGUAAACGAUGACCACCAGAUGCAUGAAGAUUCGACCCUUUGUGUGUCCAAAGCUAACGCGCUAAGUGGUCCGCCUGGGGAGUACGAUCGCAAGAUUAAAACUCAAAGGAAUUGACGGGGACCCGCACAAGCAGCAGAGCGUGUGGUUUAAUUCGAUGCGACGCGCAGAACCUUACCAGGGUUUGACAUGGAUUCGCACCGCCUUGAAAGAGGCGUUCCCGCAAUGGACGUAUCCACAGGUGCUGCAUGGCUGUCGUCAGCUCGUGCCGUGAGGUGUCGGGUUUAAGUUCCAUAACGAGCGCAACCCCUAUCGUUUUUGCAUGUUUUAAACGUAAACUGCCGCCACAAGGCGGAGGAAGGUGGGGAGUGACGUCAAGUCAGCACGGCCCUGACAUCCUGGGCCGACACACACGCUACAAUGGUCGGUACAGAGGGAGACCAACUCGCGAGGGGAGUCAAUCUCAUAAAACUGGUCUCAGUUCGGAUGGCAGGCUGCAACCCGCC